This 734-nucleotide ribosomal RNA is filed under the name Glaphyrymenia pustulosa. RNAcentral describes it as "eukaryotic LSU rRNA". The stretch from base 136 to 288 matches the Rfam family "5.8S ribosomal RNA". Lineage: Eukaryota; Rhodophyta; Florideophyceae; Gigartinales; Kallymeniaceae. The record is from RNAcentral.
UUUCCGUAGGUGAACCUGCGGAAGGAUCAUUCAAAAUUGGAACGGUGAAAACCGUGUUCAAAAUUUUCGUGCACUUUUUGAAACUAUUUUUUUUGUGUAACCAACCCAAUAUUAAAAACCAUUACCAAAUUUUAAAACUCGUGACGGUGGAUGUCUUGGCUCCAGCAACGAUGAAGAACGCAGCGAAAUGCGAUACGUAGUGCGAAUUGCAGAACCCGUGAAUCAUCGAAUUUUUGAACGCAAGUUGCGCUCGCGGGCAAUCCUGCGAGCAUGUCUGUUUGAGUGUCCGUUAAUGAAAGAUUUGUUCCCUUUGAACGGUUUUGCUGGUGUAGGAAACUGUUUGGGGAGCUGCUGAUGGGUGCACUGAAAAGUGUUUUAUUCCGGGAUCCGCCGAGAGGUGGGUCGUGGUCACCCGAAGAGGAGGGCGCUGGUUGGAUGUUCAGACUUUUGGUUUUUGGUUUUGAAUCGAGGAUCUCGGAGUUGUGGAGUUUUGGGCCGUAUGGACCCAAUGCUCGGAAUUUCUCAGGCGUUGUGAAGUAAUUUUGAAAGAAUUUACCGGAAGCGGGGCUUGGCGAACAUUUCGAGACUGGUAUCAGGGAAGCAACUGAAAAUCCGACGAAUGAUUGAUUUUGACCGAAGGCUAUUUCGGAAGUUUGGCGUUUGACUGGCACUAAAAUUUUAACACACAAACUUUUUGGAUCUCAAAUCAGACAAGACGACCCGCUGAAUUUAAG